GAUGAACGCUGGCGGCGUGCCUAAUACAUGCAAGUCGAGCGAACAGAUGAGGAGCUUGCUCCUUUGACGUUAGCGGCGGACGGGUGAGUAACACGUGGGUAACCUAUCUAUAAGACUGGGAUAACUCCGGGAAACCGGGGCUAAUGCCGGAUAACAUGUUGAACCGCAUGGUUCUACAGUGAAAGGCGGCUUUGCUGUCACUUAUAGAUGGACCCGCGCUGCAUUAGCUAGUUGGUGAGGUAACGGCUCACCAAGGCAACGAUACGUAGCCGACCUGAGAGGGUGAUCGGCCACACUGGAACUGAGACACGGUCCAGACUCCUACGGGAGGCAGCAGUAGGGAAUCUUCCGCAAUGGGCGAAAGCCUGACGGAGCAACGCCGCGUGAGUGAUGAAGGUCUUCGGAUCGUAAAACUCUGUUAUUAGGGAAGAACAAAUGCGUAAGUAACUGUGCGCAUCUUGACGGUACCUAAUCAGAAAGCCACGGCUAACUACGUG
RNAcentral lists this ribosomal RNA (497 nucleotides) under uncultured bacterium. RNAcentral's name for it is "partial 16S ribosomal RNA". It matches the Rfam family "Bacterial small subunit ribosomal RNA", at positions 28 to 507 of the family's 1533-position model. The record is from RNAcentral.